This is a long non-coding RNA of Mauremys mutica (yellowpond turtle), 919 nucleotides long. RefSeq lists it as uncharacterized. The record is from RefSeq and is a predicted model, not a curated record. NCBI's taxonomy places the organism in Eukaryota, Metazoa, Chordata, Testudines, Geoemydidae. The transcript has 4 exons.
CAAAUACACAACAGACAGUGCCUGGGAUGUUAAAUCUCUCAAGAAGUGGGUCAGGAACACCAUACGGAGGGAGACAAAUUUUAACAUGUAGGAUAUCUUCCUGUUUUCUUUUACACAAUGACUCUGCUGAUCAGCAGGAAUGGGAGGAAAGCGUAAAGGAGUUGGCCAGACCAGGGCAGGAUAAUGGCAUCGGCGAUACCGCCCCUCUCCAGACCCCUCCGGAGCAGAACCGGGGGCAUCGUCAGUUCUGUUGGGUCUCGAAUAGGUCCACCUGAGGAGUUCCCCACCUCCGGAAAAGCUGGAGGGCCACUUCCGGGUGUAGGGACUACUCAUGUUGAGAGGAAAAGUCUCUGCUCAAGUGAUCCACCCACACGUUCUGGGUGCCCGCAGGCCCGGGGCAGUGCAUGUGGACACGAGGAGUGCCACAAGAUCCCUCACCUAUGACUGAGAGGUGCCCUUGACCAGCCAGUCGUCCAGAUAGGGGAAUAUCUGGAGCCCCCGGUGCCUGAGCACCUUCCCGUCAAAAGGGAGAUCCCGCACUGACGACUGCACUUCGCUAGAUAGCCCAGAGAGCAGAAGCCAGACUCCCAUCUCAUGGACAUUGCCGAGGCCAUGGACUGUGUGGCCGUGUCCGCUGCAUCUGAAGCGGCCUGCAGGGAUGCCCUUGCGGCAGCUGUCCCUUCCUCCAUGAGCACCUUAAACUCCUUUCUAUUGCACUGCCGGAGGGAGUCCUCGAACUUGGGGAGAGAUGCCCAGAGAUUAAACUCGUAGCGACCCAGAAGAGCCUGAUGGUUUGCUACUCUCAACUGGAAGCUUGAUGAUGAAUACAUUUUUCUCCUGAAAGCAUCCAGACUCUGAGAGUCUUUGUUCUUUGGGGUCGGGGCUGGCUGCCCCUGUUGCUCCCUGUGGUUGACCGACU